GCUGCCAAAGCAGAAGAGUUUUAUUCAAGGAGACAUACCUCAUACAAUCAUCUUCCACAGCCAAGUAAACCGAAUAUUUAUUUGAAACAUAACCAAGUGCAUACUUCUUUUACUUUAAAGUCCAUAGACACUUAAAUAGGUAACAAAACCAACUGCUUUCCUUAGACACUUAAACAGCUCAAAAGAAGAAAUAGACAGCAGGGGGGAUAAUAAUACCAGCAAGCAAGUCAUAAACAGCACAAAAAAAAUAAACUAACAGCAACAAGCAAUUCACAAAAACAUGGAGUAACUAGAUCCUUUGAUUCAAGCAU
RNAcentral lists this unclassified non-coding RNA (311 nucleotides) under Hevea brasiliensis (rubber tree). The record is from RNAcentral. Lineage: Eukaryota; Viridiplantae; Streptophyta; Magnoliopsida; Malpighiales; Euphorbiaceae.